ACUCCUACGGGAGGCAGCAGUGGGGAAUAUUGCACAAUGGGCGAAAGCCUGAUCCAGCCAUGCCGCGUGUGUGAAGAAGGUCUUCGGAUUGUAAAGCACUUUAAGUUGGGAGGAAGGGCAGUAAGCUAAUACCUUGCUGUUUUGACGUUACCGACAGAAUAAGCACCGGCUAACUCUGUGCCAGCAGCCGCGGUAAU
RNAcentral lists this ribosomal RNA (197 nucleotides) under uncultured Pseudomonas sp. Its description in RNAcentral is "partial 16S ribosomal RNA". It matches the Rfam family "Bacterial small subunit ribosomal RNA", at positions 335 to 524 of the family's 1533-position model. Lineage: Bacteria; Pseudomonadati; Pseudomonadota; Gammaproteobacteria; Pseudomonadales; Pseudomonadaceae. The record is from RNAcentral.